This 465-nucleotide ribosomal RNA is filed under the name uncultured bacterium. RNAcentral describes it as "partial 16S ribosomal RNA". It matches the Rfam family "Bacterial small subunit ribosomal RNA", at positions 28 to 507 of the family's 1533-position model. The record is from RNAcentral.
GACGAACGCUGGCGGCGUGCUUAACACAUGCAAGUCGAACGGAAAGGCCCCUUUGGGGGUACUCGAGUGGCGAACGGGUGAGUAACACGUGAGUAACCUGCCCUUGACUUCGGGAUAACUUCAGGAAACUGGGGCUAAUACCGGAUAGGAAUCCUUGCUGCAUGGUGGGGGUUGGAAAGCUUCGGCGGUUUUGGGUGGACUCGCGGGUUAUCAGCUUGUUGGUGGGGUAGUGGCUUACCAAGGCUUUGGCGGGUAGCCGGCCUGAGAGGGCGACCGGCCACAAUGGGACUGGGGGACGGCCCAGACUCCUACGGGAGGCAGCAGGGGGGAAUAUUGCACAAUGGGCGGAAGCCUGAUGCAGCAACGCCGCGUGCGGGAUGACGGGCUUCGGGUUGUAAACCGCUUUCAGCAGGGGCGAAGCUUGUGGUGACGGUACCUGCAGAAGAAGCACCGGCUAACUACGUG